Pelobates cultripes (western spadefoot toad) is the source of this 66-nucleotide non-coding RNA. The record is from the annotation of a GenBank genome assembly. Lineage: Eukaryota; Metazoa; Chordata; Amphibia; Anura; Pelobatidae.
ACUUUAUCAAAUGGAAUAUAAUACAAAACCUGCCAGGUUUUGUAUUAUAUUCCAUUUGAUAAAGUC